Molecule: ribosomal RNA, 252 nt
Filed under: uncultured Bacteroidales bacterium
Lineage: Bacteria; Pseudomonadati; Bacteroidota; Bacteroidia; Bacteroidales
Description: partial 16S ribosomal RNA
Rfam family: Bacterial small subunit ribosomal RNA
Source: RNAcentral
UACGGAGGAUGCGAGCGUUAUCCGGAUUUAUUGGGUUUAAAGGGUGCGUAGGCGGACGCUUAAGUCAGCGGUAAAAUUGCGGGGCUCAACCCCGCCGAGCCGUCGGAACUGGGGGCCUUGAGUGCGGCGGAGGCAUGCGGAAUGCGCGGUGUAGCGGUGAAAUGCAUAGAUAUCGCGCAGAACUCCGAUUGCGAAGGCAGCGUACCGGCGCCGGACUGACGCUGAGGCACGAAAGUGCGGGUAUCGAACAGG